This 203-nucleotide long non-coding RNA is filed under the name Elaeis guineensis (African oil palm). RNAcentral's name for it is "long non-coding RNA (EGUI_LNC028263)". The record is from RNAcentral. Lineage: Eukaryota; Viridiplantae; Streptophyta; Magnoliopsida; Arecales; Arecaceae.
AAAUUUAAGGCAUGAAUUUACAUAACUAACUCAUAAACAGCUCCUGACCAUAGGAUCAUCAUGAGGAUGGUGAUCGAUCCGGAAGGUUGGUGUACGAUCGCUUCCUUAGGGUAGAUGUGUCUUGAGUCUACGGUGUGGAGAUAUCGAAGCGAGAGUACAGAUAUUCAUUGAGAAUAAGAGUACUGAGCGUGACUACCUUGAGC